This 698-nucleotide ribosomal RNA is filed under the name uncultured Vibrionaceae bacterium. RNAcentral's name for it is "bacterial SSU rRNA". It matches the Rfam family "Bacterial small subunit ribosomal RNA", at positions 56 to 724 of the family's 1533-position model. Lineage: Bacteria; Pseudomonadati; Pseudomonadota; Gammaproteobacteria; Vibrionales; Vibrionaceae. The record is from RNAcentral.
UGCAAGUCGAGCGGUAACAGGAAAGAAGCUUGCUUCUUUUGCUGACGAGCGGCGGACGGGUGAGUAAUGCCUGGGAACAUGCCUUAGUGUGGGGGAUAACCAUUGGAAACGAUGGCUAAUACCGCAUAACGUCUACGGACCAAAGAGGGGGCUUCUCUUUUCUUCGGAAUAGGGGACCUCUCGCGCUAAGAUUGGCCCAGGUGGGAUUAGCUAGUAGGUGGGGUAACGGCUCACCUAGGCGACGAUCCCUAGCUGGUCUGAGAGGAUGAUCAGCCACACUGGAACUGAGACACGGUCCAGACUCCUACGGGAGGCAGCAGUGGGGAAUAUUGCACAAUGGGGGAAACCCUGAUGCAGCCAUGCCGCGUGUGUGAAGAAGGCCUUCGGGUUGUAAAGCACUUUCAGUUGUGAGGAAGGUUCAUGCGUUAAUAGCGUAUGGAUUUGACGUUAGCAACAGAAGAAGCACCGGCUAACUCCGUGCCAGCAGCCGCGGUAAUACGGAGGGUGCGAGCGUUAAUCGGAAUUACUGGGCGUAAAGCGCAUGCAGGCGGCUUGUUAAGCCAGAUGUGAAAGCCCGGGGCUUAACCUCGGAAUAGCAUUUGGAACUGGCAGGCUAGAGUCUUGUAGAGGGGGGUAGAAUUUCAGGUGUAGCGGGUGAAAUGCGUAGAGAUCUGAAGGAAUACCGGUGGCGAAGGCGG